AAAUCACAAAACAACAGUCUCAGUUCAGAUUGUAGGCUGAAACUCGCCUAUAUGAAGUCGGAAUUGCUAGUAAUCGCGGAUCAGCAUGCCGCGGUGAAUACGUUCCCGGGCCUUGUACACACCGCCCGUCACACCAUGAGAGUCGAUAACACCCGAAGCCUGUAGUCUAACCUUAGGGGGGACGCAGUCGAAGGUGGGAUUGAUAAUUAGGGUGAAGUCGUAACAAGGUAUC
Molecule: ribosomal RNA, 232 nt
Filed under: uncultured bacterium
Lineage: Bacteria
Description: partial 16S ribosomal RNA
Rfam family: Bacterial small subunit ribosomal RNA
Source: RNAcentral